GUGCACUUACCUCAGCAGUUAGAGCAUCCUUCUAGAGAAAAUAAGUCAUGGGUUCAAAUCCCAUAGUGCACA
RNAcentral lists this transfer RNA (72 nucleotides) under Endocronartium harknessii PhW48OC. RNAcentral's name for it is "tRNA-Ser (AGA) (tRNA-Ser-AGA-12-1)". It matches the Rfam family "tRNA". From Rfam's summary of the family: Transfer RNA (tRNA) molecules are approximately 80 nucleotides in length. Their secondary structure includes four short double-helical elements and three loops (D, anti-codon, and T loops). Further hydrogen bonds mediate the characteristic L-shaped molecular structure. tRNAs have two regions of fundamental functional importance: the anti-codon, which is responsible for specific mRNA codon recognition, and the 3' end, to which the tRNAs corresponding amino acid is attached (by aminoacyl-tRNA synthetases). tRNAs cope with the degeneracy of the genetic code in two manners: having more than one tRNA (with a specific anti-codon) for a particular amino acid; and 'wobble' base-pairing, i.e. permitting non-standard base-pairing at the 3rd anti-codon position. Lineage: Eukaryota; Fungi; Basidiomycota; Pucciniomycetes; Pucciniales; Coleosporiaceae. The record is from RNAcentral.